Molecule: long non-coding RNA, 439 nt
Organism: Xyrauchen texanus (razorback sucker)
Lineage: Eukaryota; Metazoa; Chordata; Actinopteri; Cypriniformes; Catostomidae
Exons: 3
Source: RefSeq, a predicted model, not a curated record
ACUCUUUUUCAAGCUCUGUCAGUUGUUUUGUUGUAAAAUUUGUGCGCACAGUGUUUGGCUGCCCACCAAAUCCAUACUCUCCAGCUUUACCUAAAGAGAGAAGAUAAACAGAUAAAUAAGACAUAAAACAACUCGGCAUGGGAUUUUUUCUCCAGCCACUCACCUGUUUUUGGCGGGUUCCGUUUAACUUUCAUCCAGUCGAAUGUCUGCCCCAUAGACGCGCCAUCUGACAGAGGUGAGCAGCAAGCAUCGUGAUGGGCCACAUGCCGAGGGGAUAGCGGAUUUGAGCAAUCCCCCACAAAGGCAUUACUGGAGGAGAGGAGGCUGUCAUAACAAUGGACUGCUCGCACUUUGCUCAAAAUGCAAGACUGCCGGAAGUGACGGUGUACCACUAACACAUGCAGCAGUUUUAGCCCGUUUCUGUCAUUUAUUUGCCAAA